GAUGAAGAACGUAGCGAAAUGCGAUAAGUAAUGUGAAUUGCAGAAUUCAGUGAAUCAUCGAAUCUUUGAACGCACAUUGCGCCCGCCAGCAUUCUGGCGGGCAUGCCUGUUCGAGCGUCAUUUCAACCCUCGAGCCCCCCCGGGGGCCUCGGUGUUGGGGGACGGCACACCAGCCGCCCCCGAAAUGCAGUGGCGACCACGCCGCAGCCUCCCCUGCGUAGUAGCACACACCUCGCACCGGAGCGCGGAGGCGGUCACGCCGUAAAACGCCCAACUUUCUUAGAGUUGACCUCGGAUCAGGUAGGAAUACCCGCUGAACUUAAGCAUAUCAAUAAGCGGAGGA
Molecule: unclassified non-coding RNA, 343 nt
Filed under: soil metagenome
Description: partial contains 5.8S ribosomal RNA, internal transcribed spacer 2, and large subunit ribosomal RNA
Rfam family: 5.8S ribosomal RNA (bases 1-120)
Source: RNAcentral